ACGGCAGCACAGGAGAGCUUGCUCUCUGGGUGGCGAGUGGCGGACGGGUGAGGAAUACAUCGGAAUCUACUUUUUCGUGGGGGAUAACGUAGGGAAACUUACGCUAAUACCGCAUACGACCUACGGGUGAAAGCAGGGGAUCUUCGGACCUUGCGCGAUUGAAUGAGCCGAUGUCGGAUUAGCUAGUUGGCGGGGUAAAGGCCCACCAAGGCGACGAUCCGUAGCUGGUCUGAGAGGAUGAUCAGCCACACUGGAACUGAGACACGGUCCAGACUCCUACGGGAGGCAGCAGUGGGGAAUAUUGGACAAUGGGCGCAAGCCUGAUCCAGCCAUACCGCGUGGGUGAAGAAGGCCUUCGGGUUGUAAAGCCCUUUUGUUGGGAAAGAAAUCCAGCUGGCUAAUACCCGGUUGGGAUGACGGUACCCAAAGAAUAAGCACCGGCUAACUUCGUGCCAGCAGCCGCGGUAAUACGAAGGGUGCAAGCGUUACUCGGAAUUACUGGGCGUAAAGCGUGCGUAGGUGGUCGUUUAAGUCCGUUGUGAAAGCCCUGGGCUCAACCUGGGAACUGCAGUGGAUACUGGGCGACUAGAGUGUGGUAGAGGGUAGCGGAAUUCCUGGUGUAGCAGUGAAAUGCGUAGAGAUCAGGAGGAACAUCCAUGGCGAAGGCAGCUACCUGGACCAACACUGACACUGAGGCACGAAAGCGUG
RNAcentral lists this ribosomal RNA (708 nucleotides) under uncultured Gammaproteobacteria bacterium. RNAcentral's name for it is "bacterial SSU rRNA". It matches the Rfam family "Bacterial small subunit ribosomal RNA", at positions 66 to 763 of the family's 1533-position model. The record is from RNAcentral. Lineage: Bacteria; Pseudomonadati; Pseudomonadota; Gammaproteobacteria.